UACACCUGUCAUCUUUCUAAUCAGAUUUCACUGGCAGCCAGCUCCCUUGUCCUCAUGUGUUUCCCCUAGUGGGCACUUUUAUUUUGCCUGCCUGUAAUCACUUUUCCAAAUUCUUGUAACAGCCCCUUCCCACAGCUUAGCCUACAUGCUUGAGUUUCAUGGCUUUGGGGUGGAGAAAUUGAUACAGGCUCGCCAUGCUUCUGUAUCACAGGGAUCGGUUUCAGGGAGUUACAUGUAGACUAAUGUAAUGAAUCCCAGGAUUUGCUUGGGUGCUCACAGAGAGUCUCCUUUUAUUUCCAUUGAUCUUGAACUUGGGAAGGUUGUUGUGUUUUAGAAUGAAGCCCUAACUUGGAGGCAGAGAAAAACUAAGUCCUUAUUUUGGGUUAAUGUUAGUUGCUAUAACGAAGUG
RNAcentral lists this long non-coding RNA (409 nucleotides) under Bos taurus (domestic cattle). RNAcentral's name for it is "long non-coding RNA NONBTAT013773". The record is from RNAcentral. Lineage: Eukaryota; Metazoa; Chordata; Mammalia; Artiodactyla; Bovidae.